GGAGAGUGGGUGUGGACCAGACCGCACGCCUGAGAUCCCCAGCCUGGAACGAGGAGCCCAGAGUGAGGGCUGAGUCACAGCCCUAUCUUUCCAGGACAAGAAUGAAAAUACUGAAAUGUGGCAGGAUUUCUAAGAGAACGAAAGCCAAGAAACACUGAAAACACAGCCUUGAGAUUUCCGGUUCAGUUUCCAGGACAAAGAUUCAUCGUGGGUCUCUGUCAUCUCUGCCACACAGAGACCUGGGUCAGCGGGAGCGGGGGCCUCCGAGGGUGGCGGUGCCAGGCCCGGCGCUGGCAGGCCGCUCCCCAGGGUCGUGGCUGGGAGGCCACCUCUCCUCACCAGAUCGGCUCCUACUCGUUCCCACAGGAAGCCCUGGAAAAUAGUUGGGAUUUUUCUUCUCUACGUCCACGCUAGUUCAUUCUCAGAGCGCUUCCCGUGUGUGCUUGGAGCCACAUGUUGGGUAAAGAAAGGUGGAAGAAGCAUUUCACGGCGUUUUCUCCCCCAGGAGCAGUCUCCUAUUUUUGUCCAGACAGUGCUUGCUUUUGUUUUGUUUUGCUUUGACACGUGGCUUCUGUAAAAAUGUGUCAGUCUUUCCCUUUGAAUUUAAGGACUCAACUCAAGGGAAUAAAAGCGAACGUGAACGCGUAA
Molecule: long non-coding RNA, 648 nt
Organism: Myotis lucifugus (little brown bat)
Lineage: Eukaryota; Metazoa; Chordata; Mammalia; Chiroptera; Vespertilionidae
Exons: 2
Source: RefSeq, a predicted model, not a curated record